AUGGGACUCUCAAGAGUCUCCUCCAGCACCACAAUUCAAAAGCAUCAAUUCUUCGGCGAUCAGCGCUCUUUAUUGAUGCUUUUGAAUUAUGGUGCUGGAGGAGACUCUUGAGAGUCCCAU
This 120-nucleotide microRNA precursor is filed under the name Podarcis lilfordi (Lilford's wall lizard). Lineage: Eukaryota; Metazoa; Chordata; Lepidosauria; Squamata; Lacertidae. The record is from RNAcentral.